CCUACGGGUGGCAGCAGUGAGGAAUAUUGGUCAAUGGACGCAAGUCUGAACCAGCCAUGCCGCGUGCAGGAAGACGGCUCUAUGAGUUGUAAACUGCUUUUGUACGAGGGUAAACGCAGAUACGCGUAUCUGUCUGAAAGUAUCGUACGAAUAAGGAUCGGCUAACUCAGUGCCAGUAGCCGCGGUAAUACGGAGGGUUCAAGCGCUAUCCGGAUUUAUUGGGUUUAAAGGUUGAGUAGGCGGUCGGGUAAGUUUGAAGGGAAAUUCCGAGGCUCAAAUUCGGAAUUGCUUCUGAUACUGUUCGGCUAGAGAGUAGUUGCGGUAGGCGGAAUGUAUGGUGUAGCGGUGAAAUGCUUAGAGAUCAUACAGAACACCGAUUGCGAAGGCAGCUUACCGGGCUACUUCUGACGUUGAGGCACGAAAGCGUGGGGAGCAAACAGGAUUAGAUACCCUGGUAGUC
RNAcentral lists this ribosomal RNA (460 nucleotides) under uncultured bacterium. RNAcentral's name for it is "partial 16S ribosomal RNA". It matches the Rfam family "Bacterial small subunit ribosomal RNA", at positions 338 to 795 of the family's 1533-position model. The record is from RNAcentral.